RNAcentral lists this ribosomal RNA (902 nucleotides) under Proliferodiscus tricolor. RNAcentral describes it as "LSU rRNA". It matches the Rfam family "Eukaryotic large subunit ribosomal RNA", at positions 37 to 957 of the family's 3401-position model. The record is from RNAcentral. Lineage: Eukaryota; Fungi; Ascomycota; Leotiomycetes; Helotiales; Lachnaceae.
AGCAUAUCAAUAAGCGGAGGAAAAGAAACCAACAGGGAUUACCUCAGUAACGGCGAGUGAAGCGGUAACAGCUCAAAUUUGAAAUCUGGCUCUUUUAGGGUCCGAGUUGUAAUUUGUAGAAGAUGCUUUGGGUGUGGCCCCGGUCUAAGUUCCUUGGAACAGGACGUCAUAGAGGGUGAGAAUCCCGUAUGUGACUGGGUGCUUUCGUCCGUGUAAAGCUCUUUCGACGAGUCGAGUUGUUUGGGAAUGCAGCUCAAAAUGGGUGGUAAAUUUCAUCUAAAGCUAAAUAUUGGCCAGAGACCGAUAGCGCACAAGUAGAGUGAUCGAAAGAUGAAAAGCACUUUGGAAAGAGAGUUAAACAGUACGUGAAAUUGUUGAAAGGGAAGCGCUUGCAAUCAGACUCGCAUGCCGCUGAUCAUCCGGGGUUCUCCUCGGUGCACUCGGUGGUUUUCGGGCCAGCAUCAGUUUGGGUGGUGGGAUAAAGGCCUUGGGAACGUAGCUUCUUUCGGGGAGUGUUAUAGCCCUCGGUGCAAUGCCACCUACCUAGACUGAGGACCGCGCUUCGGCUAGGAUGCUGGCGUAAUGGUUGUAAGCGACCCGUCUUGAAACACGGACCAAGGAGUCUAACAUCUAUGCGAGUAUUUGGGUGUUAAACCCAUAUGCGUAAUGAAAGUGAACGGAGGUAAGAACCCUUAAGGGUGCAUUAUCGACCGAUCCUGAUGUCUUCGGAUGGAUUUGAGUAAGAGCAUAGCUGUUGGGACCCGAAAGAUGGUGAACUAUGCCUAAAUAGGGUGAAGCCAGAGGAAACUCUGGUGGAGCUCGCAGCGGUUCUGACGUGCAAAUCGAUCGUCAAAUUUGGGUAUAGGGGCGAAAGACUAAUCGAACCAUCUAGUAGCUGGUCU